GCCGGGUGGUGGAGAGAGUGAGUGGACCGUUCCCGCUGGGAGGCUGGACUUGGGGGCCCUGUGAAUCCACCUGGAGGCUCCGGUUUUCCCACCUGAAACGUGGGAAUGAAAUAUUAAAGAGCACCACAGUAUGUGUGGGGUCCGAUGUAGACCCUUUAACGCAGAGUCCUCAAAACAACCCGAGGAAAAAUAGCAGCUUCACAGUGCUGGAUCCUGGCAGACAGCUCCUUAACCAACGGACGGAGGUUAAAGUCACCAUGAGUCACCGUGACAUCAUAAGCUCCUGGUAUGAGAAGGGAACAUCACCUCUCUGCCCAGUGGUUCUCGAACAGGAAAGAUCUGCUUCACACACACCCCGGAGGGGCAUUUGGCAAUGUCUGGAGACAUUUCUGCUUGGCAAGACUAAGGGGUUGCUCUAGGCAUCUAAUAGGUAGAGGCUGGAGAUGCUGCUUAAAGUCCUAGGAGGCCAAGGAGAGACUCCUCCACCCAGGAAGAAUGAUCCAGCCUUGACGUGGACAGCGCUGAGGGUGAGGAACCCUGACAGCCUGGUAGCAUUAGGGACAGGGGUCUGGCUUCAAAUUUUCUCUCACUGACUCUGUGUGACACUCGGAAAGGGAUUCCACACCCCGUGCCUCAGUUUCCCCAUCUGUAAAGUGCACGUGAUAACAGCAUCCAUUUCUGAGGGUGUUGUGAAGCAUGAGUUGUUACAGGUAUAGUACUUGUAACAGGACCUGACAUAAGAGGCUGCUGCCAUUAGCGUAUCACAGCUGAGCCCCUAGCAUGUGGACACCAAAUUAAUUGCAUGUCCUUAACGUAUCCUCAGUAUAUGGCAGUUUGCUGACAUGUCAUCCAAGUGUCCCUAACAUCGCCUUGACAUAGUGUCAUGGUGUGGUCAUGUCAUCCACCUCUGUGUGGUCCAGGGGUGAGAUCUGGCCAGAUGGGGCUGUUUGCAGGUGUCCCCUCUAAAGCUCCCCCUGGCUGGGACAGGAGAAAUACAGGGGUGUCCAUGGCCUGAAACCUGCUAACACAGUGACUCCAUGGCAACCCCACAGGUAGUUGGAGAGGAUAAUAUCCAGGAUCUCUAUUCCCCCAGAUCCUUCUGAGGGGCUGGAAAGGACAGAGGUGGGGUGCCAGAUGCUCAUUGGAAAUAUUGCUGUUAUCCUGAGGCCUUCCCUGGGCCAGGCACUACAUGCUGGACAUGCAGUAUCCAUUAGUCCAUUUUACAGAUGUGGCAACAGAGGCCCACUAUAGACUGUUGGUGUCUGGAGUUAAACCCAGGAUGGUGCUCACUAAGCUACCAUGGACUGCGGAAAGAGGAAGAGAGAUGACCUCAAUGAGAGGAGAGAUGGGCUCAGUGAUGGACACAGAGGAAACCAGGAGGCCCAGCCAGAGGGCAAUGAACA
Molecule: long non-coding RNA, 1403 nt
Organism: Nyctereutes procyonoides (raccoon dog)
Lineage: Eukaryota; Metazoa; Chordata; Mammalia; Carnivora; Canidae
Exons: 3
Source: RefSeq, a predicted model, not a curated record